CCCGCAGGUGACAACAGCGGCGGCUCCUGGGCUCACGCCGCUCGCAGGGCUGGCUGUGCCAGGCGUGCACAUGUCCCUGCGCGAAACGCGGGCGUGUGUGGCUGUACCGGAGAUGUAGAUACAUAUAUGGGGCUUGAUUUAUAUCUAAUGGCACGUAUAAAGCUUUUGAAGGUGGCUGCAAUGUAAAAAGUAAUGACUUUAUUACCCCUGAAAGGUUCUGCGGUUCGCAGUUAACACUCCUCUGAAUUACAAUUCAUUACGCUCUCUAAAGCCAACCUGCAUCAGAGCACCUACCUGUGCUUAUUCCCAAUCACAGGCAUCGUUUCAUUGAUUUUCUUUUUUAAAAAUCAUAGCAAAUUAAGCACUUGGUGACAACUAAAUCUGUUUCAUUAUCGUGCCGUGUUUGAGAUUCCAGAGGUGACUUCCCAGACCGCAUCUCAAAACCUACAGUCAGGAGCUAAUUUUACAGAUGCUUUCAUGAAUGGCAGCGAGGAUGUUCUUACCAUCAGCAUGCCCUUAAUUCCAGCACCGUAAAAAUGCCUCGAUUUAAAUGGAAACUCGCUGCCUUAAAAAAAUAAUAUUUCAUCCUGGCUGGAUAAUUAUUAAUAUUAGCAUUUGAUCGCAAUAGUGCUGGCUCCCCCUCGUUCCUGUACCCCCCCACCCCCCCACCCCACAGCGCUUCGCAUUGUCAUGUGAUUGGAGGGAGAUAACAAACCUCAAGAAAGAAAAGGAGUGAGAAGACAUUUUUAACACGGCAUGACCGCAGAUUAAUAAUGCAGGUGGGUUUUUAUUUCAUUGUAUUUUUAGGGGAAGGGAACGAGGCUGUUUAACGAGCAGUCGUGGACACAAAGUGACUGUAUUUACAAUCCUUGAUGUGGCUUUCGGUGGGUAAUAAAUUAUGACAAUAUUAAAAUUAUUUUCUGGCAGCCCAGUUAACUGCGCUGGGGACUGUAAAGCCCCUACUGAUUCCUUUUAUGCCUUGUAAUUGCGGUCCACGGUCUCGCUCUAAACCUUUUGGUGUAUAUUGUGUGUAAACUUUUAGCUAAUAGACUUUUUUUUGAAUGGAAGGACUUUUCUCGGUACUUCCUGCCGUAUACAUUUUGUCUCUGAUCUCUGUAUUUAAUGGCCAAGUCCUGGUUUAUGCUUUAUAAUGUGUUGACAAGUUUUCUAACAGACUUUCUGAAAUAAUGCACAUAUAUUCACGUCGGUUAGAAACUCCACAGUAUUUUUAGAGUCGAGUAGAUCUAUAUCCUAAUGCACUGAGAGGGAGUGUAAAUCAUAGAGGAUUUCAUAGCCCUUUCAGUAGUUUUCUGUAUGAAGUAUGAGCAGCGUGGCCUCCAGACGUAACCUUUUAGAAAAAAAGACAGUGCUUUUAUUUUAUGGUGUAAAGUGCUUUUAGCUUCAGGGCUCUGAACGUGAAUGUGGUCAACAAACAGCUCUUGCGAGGGAGUUUGCUCCAGCCUCAGCCCAGCGCCGGGCGCUGUGGGGAGGGAUGCGGGGCCGCCCCCGGCCGCAGGACCGGGCUGAGCCCCCCCAGAGACACGGCAGCCCCCGCCAGUGUCCUGGGCUCCGACACCCCGCGGAAAGCGGGGGUGGGAUGGCCCCCGGCGCUGCCGGAGAGGCUGUUGAUGGCAGCGGGGUCAGCCCCGGCGCGUCCGGGGGCAGGGGGCUGAGCUGGCACCGGCGGCAGAGACAGGGCCAGAGGGCACAGCUGGGGCUGAGAGCGCCCCAGGAGAGCUGUGGAGCAAGGGCGACGCACCCCAUCACUGCCCCGCUGCACCCCACAAGCUACAUCUCCUGUGUCUCUGCUUCCACCCUCGCAGCACCUCCGUGACACACCGAGCAUCUCCAGCCCUCUCUGGAGCUCCUGCACGCUGCUGUCCCUUGCUGGGCUGUACUAACAAACCCAGUGUGUGUGGCAGGGUAUGAAUUUGGUACUUCUAGCUCUUCUGAAGCUCCACACUCAAUGGAAUAUGUAUAGAUACCCAAGGUAAAGCUACAGCUACCCUGAGGAUUUCAUGGGGCACACCUGCCACCCUGACCCACCUGCGUGCUCCUAUACACUAGAGAAGAGGCCAGGAACAAGAAAUGACACUUCAGUUAUCUCCAAAGAGGGUCCUAAAUGUGUAAGAUAAAGUGAACAUAAAUAAAUAUUUUUGCUAACAGUUUCACAG
This is a non-coding RNA of Cyanistes caeruleus (blue tit), 2174 nucleotides long. NCBI's taxonomy places the organism in Eukaryota, Metazoa, Chordata, Aves, Passeriformes, Paridae. The record is from RefSeq and is a predicted model, not a curated record.